Molecule: RNA transcript, 2206 nt
Organism: Phalaenopsis equestris
Lineage: Eukaryota; Viridiplantae; Streptophyta; Magnoliopsida; Asparagales; Orchidaceae
Exons: 4
Source: RefSeq, a predicted model, not a curated record
CCCCUCCCCCUCUCCCUCCCCGUCCCAAGAUUACCGACGACAAAGGCGGAUCGCGUCUGGAGAACGGGAGCUCGCUGGAGGAGGCAUAGACCGGAUCAGCAGCAUGUGAAAGAUGGGGAGCUUGGGAAUCUUUCGGAUUGAAGUUAAAUCCAUCUAAUGCCCGGAUUUCUAAAUCCGGGAUUUAAGAUUUUGUAGGAUUUAGACGUAGUCAUUUUCUCUGUUUGGCAGGUUUUAUGCUAAAUCCUGCUUUAAAAAGGUUUAAACCUUACUACCUAACACCCCCUUAGAUUCGUCUAUCUUGUUUGACUCAUAGAUUUUUGGGUUUUCUGCUGUGUUGUUGGUUCUUAGUGUCGGAGUGGGAGUAGAGGAAUCCUCAGAUAGAAGAUGGUUAGACUGUUUUUAUCCCCACCACCUUCAUGUAUCUCCGGAGACAGAGACGGCGUGAAGGAGAGGCUUACACUUUUGGAAAAACUUGAAUCAAUUUUAUGGUCUGCUAUGGUAUCUGGUGGUCGAAAUGAAGCUCGCCUUUGGCUUUGCAAUACAAUUUCAUCCAUUCACUCCAUAACUCCAAGGGAGCAAUGUGAAUUGUUUAUUGAGCUGUUGAGGCUCAAGAAGUCCAAGCAUGAUGUUGCGGCUCAACUGUUGCAGAUGAUCUUUGAAAAUAGGCCAAGCAAGGUUGGGUCCAUUAUUGCAAAAAAAUGCUGCAUGCUUGAGAAAUUUUUUGAAGGGCAUCCAAGACGUAUUAUGGACUGGUUUGAUCACUUUGCCACUGUGGGAGAAUCAGGGCACAAAAAGGGAGCCAGGGCACUCUCCAAGUUUGCUUUUAUGAACCGUGACACAUGCUGGGAGGAGCUCGAGUGGAAAGGAAGACAUGGGCAAUCUCCAGCAGUGGUUGCUACCAAACCCCAUUAUUUCCAUGACCUGGAUGUCCUUCAGACUGUGGAGAACUUCCUUCAGUAUGUACGAGAUUUUUGGUCUUCAGAGGAACUUGCCGAAUCUGUGAAAGAUGGUGAAAUCUUAAAGAUUGAUAGAAAAUAUUUUAUAGAUAAAUUUCUUUACUUAAUGUAUGAGGAGAACCUUGAAGAAGCAUGGAUGAUUAUCGAGGAAUUUAUAAUGGAUGAGCAGUUCUCAUUUCUCUGCCAACAUCUCCUCGUUAUUGUAGAUGAUUCUAGGAUGCUAACUUUCUUGAAGUCUGUCAGUAAAUUUAUUCAUAUAAAUGCACAAUGCAAGGAAUUAAAAUACUCAUCAUGUUGGCUAGAGAACCUCCUGUCAACUUGCAGUGGGUCUGUAUCUGUUGAUGAAUUUAUCUUAUUAAAUGCUGUAAUUUCUCAUGGAAGACAGCUUUUACAUCUACUGAUUGAUGAAGAGCAUGAGAACGAGAAGGAAAAGCUAGAGAUGCUAUUGAUGAAUGGCUUGAAUUUUUCUGAUACUGAUCACUGGGAUUUGCUGAAAGAAUGCAUGAAGAUGGAAAAGCAGAUAGCAAUAAAAUGGAUUGGACUUCAGUCUUGGGUUAUUCACUAUCAUUUGGCACAGGAAUGCAAAACACAAAAAUCAUGUGAAUCAUUGUUUUCUGGGAAUGGAAUAAGUUUUCGCAGAGCUGAUAAGUUCUGCUUGUUGCAGUCUAAUGAAACUUUUAAAGAACAUAGUUUGGAGAUUGAUGAGGAAGAAAUGGCUAGACGGCAUCACAAUAGGAGAAAUAAGGACAAGAAGAGGAGGAAAAAGAAACAUAAUAAUGCUAAUGAAAAUACUGACGAGCUUUUGGAAUUUGAACAAUUGAAUAGUUUGCAUGAUUGGAAAUUAGGAGGGAGGACUUGGCUUCUCACUACCAACAAUUACUCAUGUGCUUGGCAUAUUGCAGAUUUGCCAGAGCAUCUUUCAAAGCACUGUUUUUCCACGUGGAUGAAGUGGGUCUUAUCCAAGUGGUAGUGCUUAAUUUCAAGUGUGGAUCUACAUUUCUGACUAUCAAGUAUGGACAGCUCUGUGAUCAUGCCUUUUUUUCGUGGGUUUGUGAGAUCCAUGAUGAGACGUUCGACCUUGUGGGUUCUCCUGGAUGGUUUGUUAGUCGCUGCUAGUUGGUGUCACAUGUGAAGCUCCAAUAAAAACAACCAAGUUUUUCUCUUCUUUUCGAUGUCGGAGUUUUUUAGAUACUUCUAGAUUAUAUUUUUUUGGUGAUAUGCUAAUGUGAUACACAUGAGCUGGGUAUUAA